GUCGAGCGGACCGACGGGAGCUUGCUCCCUUAGGUCAGCGGCGGACGGGUGAGUAACACGUGGGUAACCUGCCUGUAAGACUGGGAUAACUCCGGGAAACCGGGGCUAAUACCGGAUGCUUGAUUGAACCGCAUGGUUCAAUCAUAAAAGGUGGCUUUUAGCUACCACUUGCAGAUGGACCCGCGGCGCAUUAGCUAGUUGGUGAGGUAACGGCUCACCAAGGCGACGAUGCGUAGCCGACCUGAGAGGGUGAUCGGCCACACUGGGACUGAGACACGGCCCAGACUCCUACGGGAGGCAGCAGUAGGGAAUCUUCCGCAAUGGACGAAAGUCUGACGGAGCAACGCCGCGUGAGUGAUGAAGGUUUUCGGAUCGUAAAACUCUGUUGUUAGGGAAGAACAAGUACCGUUCGAAUAGGGCGGCACCUUGACGGUACCUAACCAGAAAGCCACGGCUAACUACGUGCCAGCAGCCGCGGUAAUACGUAGGUGGCAAGCGUUGUCCGGAAUUAUUGGGCGUAAAGCGCGCGCAGGCGGUUUCUUAAGUCUGAUGUGAAAGCCCCCGGCUCA
This 569-nucleotide ribosomal RNA is filed under the name Bacillus licheniformis. Its description in RNAcentral is "bacterial SSU rRNA". It matches the Rfam family "Bacterial small subunit ribosomal RNA", at positions 61 to 611 of the family's 1533-position model. The record is from RNAcentral. Lineage: Bacteria; Bacillati; Bacillota; Bacilli; Caryophanales; Bacillaceae.